This 303-nucleotide ribosomal RNA is filed under the name uncultured bacterium. Its description in RNAcentral is "partial 16S ribosomal RNA". It matches the Rfam family "Bacterial small subunit ribosomal RNA", at positions 507 to 808 of the family's 1533-position model. The record is from RNAcentral.
AGCAGCCGCCGCGGUAAUACGUAGGUCCCGAGCGUUGUCCGGAUUUAUUGGGCGUAAAGCGAGCGCAGGCGGUUAGAUAAGUCUGAAGUUAAAGGCUGUGGCUUAACCAUAGUACGCUUUGGAAACUGUUUAACUUGAGUGCAAGAGGGGAGAGUGGAAUUCCAUGUGUAGCGGUGAAAUGCGUAGAUAUAUGGAGGAACACCGGUGGCGAAAGCGGCUCUCUGGCUUGUAACUGACGCUGAGGCUCGAAAGCGUGGGGAGCAAACAGGAUUAGAUACCCGCGUAGUCCCUGUCUCUUAUACA